RNAcentral lists this ribosomal RNA (251 nucleotides) under uncultured prokaryote. Its description in RNAcentral is "partial 16S rRNA". It matches the Rfam family "Bacterial small subunit ribosomal RNA", at positions 525 to 775 of the family's 1533-position model. The record is from RNAcentral.
ACGGAGGGGGCAAGCGUUGUUCGGAAUUACUGGGCGUAAAGGGCGUGUAGGCGGUUAGGUAAGUCAGUUGUAAAAGCCCCGAGCUUAACUUGGGAACUGCCACUGAAACUGCCUAGCUUGAGUUUGGGAGAGGAUAGAGGAACUCCCAGUGUAGCGGUGAAAUUCGUAAAUCUUGGGAGGAACACCGGUGGCGAAGGCGGCUUUCUGGACCAAAACUGACGCUGAGGAGCGAAAGCUAGGGGAGCUAACGG